This 562-nucleotide non-coding RNA is filed under the name Pan troglodytes (chimpanzee). The record is from RNAcentral. Lineage: Eukaryota; Metazoa; Chordata; Mammalia; Primates; Hominidae.
ACAGUCACACACGCUGACCUCUAAGGUGGUCACUUGGUCUUUAUUCUGGUUAUCCAUGAGCUUGAGAUUGAUUUUGUAGUCACCCACCUCUAAGGCCAUCUUUGGCUUCAAAAUGAUAGAUUCUUGGGCUGGAGAAAGCAAUAAAAAGAAAUGAUGAGACCAGGGGGGGAAAAUAAAAAGCUCAUUCCAGAAUAAAAUUGCUAGUGAACUAAAGACACCCGCAAGCCGAGUGAAGAGAGCAGAGCUGCUUGGGUUUUAUUUAGGAGGCACAAAGAUGGGGGCUUCAUUCACAUCCAGCACAUCCACGGUGACGGUGGCUGUGGAGGUGGUGAGAGAGACCUCAAAAGACAGAGUCUCACUCUGUUGCCCAGGCCAGGGUGCAGUAGCACGAUCUUGGCUCACUACAACCUCUGUCUUCCAGGCUCAAGCGAUUCUCCUGCUUCAGCCUCCCAAGCAGCCGGGAUUACAAGUGUGCACCACCACGCCCAGUUAAUUUUUGUAUUUUUGGUAGAGACAGGUUUUCACCAUGUUGGCCAGGCUGGUCCCAAACUCCCGACCUCAG